AGAAGUUUAGGAUAUAAAUAGUCCAAGAGCCUUCAAAGCCCUAAGAAAACGAACAAGUUUAACUUCUGC
This 69-nucleotide transfer RNA is filed under the name Apodemus draco (South China field mouse). Its description in RNAcentral is "tRNA-Trp". The record is from RNAcentral. Lineage: Eukaryota; Metazoa; Chordata; Mammalia; Rodentia; Muridae.